RNAcentral lists this ribosomal RNA (433 nucleotides) under uncultured bacterium. RNAcentral's name for it is "partial 16S ribosomal RNA". It matches the Rfam family "Bacterial small subunit ribosomal RNA", at positions 29 to 507 of the family's 1533-position model. The record is from RNAcentral.
AACGAACGCUGGCGGCAUGCCUAACACAUGCAAGUCGAACGAGACCUUCGGGUCUCGUGGCGCACGGGUGCGUAACGCGUGGGAACCUGCCCUUAGGUUCGGAAUAACUCCCCGAAAGGGGUGCUAAUACCGGAUAAUGUCUUCGGACCAAAGAUUUAUCGCCUUUGGAUGGGGCCGCGUUGGAUUAGCUAGUUGGUAGGGUAAAAGCCUACCAAGGCGACGAUCCAUAGCUGGUCUGAGAGGAUGAUCAGCCACACUGGGACUGAGACACGGCCCAGAAUCCUACGGGAGGCAGCAGUGGGGAAUAUUGGACAAUGGGCGAAAGCCUGAUCCAGCAAUGCCGCGUGAGUGAUGAAGGCCUUAGGGUUGUAAAGCUCUUUUACCCGGGAUGAUAAUGACAGUACCGGGAGAAUAAGCUCCGGCUAACUCCGUG